AGGGAAAAACACAACAACUUAAGUAUGUAAAGAAUAAGUUUGGCAGAGCAAGUUUGGUCCUUGGAGGUUACCGUUACAGUGCUAAGACCAAACGAAACAACAGAAUUUACUGGCGUUGUACAAUUGCAUCCUGUAAAGCAACAGUUAACACACAUGAGGGUCAUUUGGUCAAAGUUGGCACACCACAUAACCAUCCAGCCUACCAGACAGGGUGGUUCAAAAUCAAUGAACCACCAGAACUGUCCUGUGACAGUCAGCAAAGUGAAAAUAAAUCUAUGUCAGAAGAAUAUAUAACAGCGGGUCAAGAGACUCAAGAUGAAAGUGUUCCACUUCACUUGGAAUGUGAGGAAGUGUUUUCAGUAGACAGUGAUGACAAACAAGAUCAAUUUGUAAGUUCAAAUUCAAACUGUGAUGACAACAGCAUUGAUACUCAAAAGAAUAGUACAUCCUCUAGAUCACAUGACAAAAAACCAAUGGUAAAUGUGGACAACUCAAUAUCUCGAUCAUGUGACCUUGACAACUCAGAUCAUCGUCCAGAUUAUAUGACAAGAAACCAGAAGGGAACGUUUCAAGACUGGAUACUCACAUGGACAACUUAUUGUCUAGAUCACAUGACAGAUCACAUGAUUUGGAAAACUCAUCACCAUCCAGAUCACUUGACUUGGAUAACUUGGAGUCAUCUAGAUCAAAUGACAAUACAUCAG
This is a long non-coding RNA of Mytilus californianus (California mussel), 704 nucleotides long. RefSeq lists it as uncharacterized. NCBI's taxonomy places the organism in Eukaryota, Metazoa, Mollusca, Bivalvia, Mytilida, Mytilidae. The record is from RefSeq and is a predicted model, not a curated record. The transcript has 3 exons.